UCUGUGACCCACUCUGGGGAGUGGGGCAUCUCAUCUCCUCUCAGCCACUUCUGAAAGCUGGGACAUGGCAGAGUGGGCAGGGCUGCCCUCUGAGCUGACACCCUUCCCCUUCUCCCCAUCUUGUCUCUCCUCAGAUCUAGGGCUCACUCUGAGGCGUGGGUGAUACUUGCUCCCCAACCCCAGCCUCUUCAGUGCAGGGAGGCAGGGCCUGAACUUCGGAGGGUCUUGGGGCAGGUUCCUGGGGCUUGCAGGGCGGCCUCCCCUUUCCCAGGGAAAGGAAGGGAGAAGCCGUGUCUGGGGAGGGAAGCCUCUACCUCCACCCUCACUGUGCCCAGAGCUGCAUCCCCAACCUGGCCUGGGGAGACUGGCACCAGGUGGAGCUGGUCCCCAAGGAGCCCCAACCCCCAGAACAUCUGCAGAGGUCAGCUCUCAGGGGGCCCCAGGGCCAGUCCUCUCUGCACCCCACCUUCCCUGCUCAAUGUGGCUUGUAGGUGGUUAUGCAAAGCAUAUGCAAAGCACAUGCAAAUGAGGCCCAGCCACAACCGGUCACUCUCUCCAGGUGAGACUACUGAAGCCCUCUGGUCAUCAGCAGGAAUGCAGGGGUGCCUAUGGCAGGCCGGACUCCAGGUCAGGCCUUGGGGCAGUGAGGAAGAAGGUGCAAGUCAGGGGCUGCCUUCGUGUUCUGGAAGAAUUCACGUGCUAAUUUGUAGGCGGCCUGGCCAGAUGCUUCAGAGACUCCGGCAGCAUCGAAGGCGUGAUUUUAGAUCAGUGCUCCCGAGACCCUUGUGUUAUUUAAGAAGACAGGGUCUCACUAUGUUGUCCAGACUGGUCUCAAACU
Molecule: long non-coding RNA, 838 nt
Organism: Cercocebus atys (sooty mangabey)
Lineage: Eukaryota; Metazoa; Chordata; Mammalia; Primates; Cercopithecidae
Exons: 3
Source: RefSeq, a predicted model, not a curated record